UCCUCUUCUUUUAUGUUUCUUCUUCUUUCCUCUCUGUCGAUCUCAUUUCAGAAGAACUGAGUUAGCUAUGUGAGAUAUUGAUAGAAAGUUAGGUAGCUUGAUGAAUCGAAGAAGAUGAAAUUAGAAUUGAGGUUGUUUGAGUUCCAGGAGAAUAAGAAGGUGAUGUUUAUGUUGAAUUGAAUCUAGGGUUUCUAGUAGUUUUAAUUCAAGUUGAUUUCGUGAUGGUUAGGAAGAAUUGAGAAUUGGGUUUAGUUGAUUGAGGUUUAAUUGAAGUUCUGAGGCUGUCCUGGAGAUGAAUCGAAUUCAAAACUCAAAUGGAAAAGGUGGUUGUUGGACUUGUUUUAUGGAAUCUGAUGACAUUCCAUAAAAUAUAGACUUUCAGUCGGAUGUACUAUUGCCGUCAUUUGUAUCUUUAAGUAUUUUCUAUAUAGAGUGCGCGUAGAAUGAGGUACUGGUAAGGUACACAUCGUUUAUGACUUCGAAGAUGGAAAACCUCACGGUACUUUAAUGAUCAUUGAAGCUUUCGGAACAGUCAUGCCUUGCUACUCCGAAGGAAGACGUCACUCAACUAUUAAUUAUGUUGCGAAUGUGUGUCGGUUUAUUGGUUGGUAAAACUUUAUAUUUCAGUACAAUUAUUAUUAUUCUAGUAUGUUUUAUUUGUGUUCUGUGUAGUGAUUACUUGAAAGUUAGUUGUUAUUUCUACUGGGCACCCCUUUUAGGGAUGACGUGCUCACCCGUUCCCACUUUCAGUUCCAGAGACAGAUUCAGAUGAAGUUUUGUGCAUGUGGCGAUGAAAUCUUCGAGGAGUUGGUUUCGUUAGUUAGUUGGCUUCCGCUAUGUUUAUUUUGUGUUUAUAUUCUAUUUGUAAAUCAACUCAUUAUUGAAUAUGUAUCAUUUGAGAGGAAUUCUUGUAUUUAUUUUAGAGAGGGUUUAAAUUCGGGUUAAUCUUUGUUUAGAACUUCUUUCUUAGUGUUUUAAAUAGAUAUUUUAGAUCGUUAGUGCUUCAUUUUUU
Long non-coding RNA from Papaver somniferum (opium poppy), 1012 nucleotides. RefSeq lists it as uncharacterized. NCBI's taxonomy places the organism in Eukaryota, Viridiplantae, Streptophyta, Magnoliopsida, Ranunculales, Papaveraceae. The record is from RefSeq and is a predicted model, not a curated record. The transcript has 2 exons.